This 2009-nucleotide long non-coding RNA is filed under the name Linum usitatissimum (flax). RNAcentral's name for it is "long non-coding RNA (LUSI_LNC002386)". The record is from RNAcentral. Lineage: Eukaryota; Viridiplantae; Streptophyta; Magnoliopsida; Malpighiales; Linaceae.
UUUGCUAUGAAGAAGGGUGACAGCUGGUUUAGCCUCACUCAUGUGAUGACGCUCAAUAAACUCGAGAAUGUCUUUCUUUUGUGAGAGCCUCAAACCAGAACUAUUGGGUCUUAUUUCGAUGCCAAGAAAGUAGCAGAGAUAACCCAAAUCUUUCAUGGAGAAUUCCGUUUGCAUUGAUGAGACUCUGAAUGAGUUCGUUGCUGGACCCAAAUAUGGCUAUGUCGUCGACAUAGAGUAAGAGAACAAGAGUGUGACGUAAAGGAAUUUUUUUUUCUUAUUAAUAGGUAUAGGAUAUCUUUGAGAUUCUGCCUUCGAUGGGGAAAGCCUCUUUUGAUGAGGUUUUCUUGCUUUUUUCUUCAAUGGAGAAAAAGUGAUAAGGUGAGCAACCAAGUUAUAUAAGUCUCUUUUAUUGAAAGCCAGCUACCUCUUUUUGGGAUUGAGUCAAAGUAUAGCACAGAUAACCCAAAUCUUUCAUGGAGAAUUCCGUUUGCAUUGAUGAGACUCUGAAUGAGUUCGUUGCUGGACCCAAAUAUGGCUAUGUCGUCGACAUAGAGUAAGAGAACAAGAGUGUGACGUAAAGGAAUUUUUUUUUCUUAUUAAUAGGUAUAGGAUAUCUUUGAGAAUCUGCCUUCGAUGGGGAAAGCCUCUUUUGAUGAGGUUUUCUUGCUUUUUUCUUCAAUGGAGAAAAAGUGAUAAGGUGAGCAACCAAGUUAUAUAAGUCUCUUUUAUUGAAAGCCAGCUACCUCUUUUUGGGAUUGAGUCAAAGUGGAAGUUGGAGGGGUUUUAGGUUGAGAUAAAGUUCUAGCCCCUACAGUUGGAGUCUUUCUGUCUUUGACUUCUUCCCCUUUAUUUUAGCCUUCGCCUUCACCUCUUAGAAUAGGGAUGUUACCCUGUUAAUAAGGUAAGUCUUUCUUGUUGCAGAAGCAGUUUCGGGGUCAUAUUCAUAUAAUCAGUCUCCCACUAUUGCCCUUCCUGCUAGUGCUAUGCCCCCUUUUUACAGUGUAUUAUUACUUUCUAGGCCCAGUAGAAGGAUAACUAGGGGGUUCCAUAUAGUAGUUAUAGUUGUCCACCUUGUACCAGUGCUCGACCCCCCGAAAAAUUCACUCGACUUUACACAAAAGCAUGUGAUAGGGAAAGCUUGUGUAUUUGAAGGUAGUUCAAUCAAGUUCUUUUGCGCAUAUUACUUAUUUUCCAUACUAUUCUGAAUUAGCAUAUUCCGAAUAGGUUUGUAACCGUCUACUUCAAGUGAAUCAGAGCAGACAUUAAAAGAAAGGGCAAAAGAGGAAGAACAUAGUUUUCGUAUUGAUUUUCUAUACCCUCGUGCUAACAACGUGCUAACGAUUCCUUCAGUUAAGGAUUAUCAGUAGAAAGACUAACUCUACCUUGUAGACCGUGGAUAGUGGAUACUAGUCCUAAGAUGUCUAUCGUGUUGAAGGCGUGGACAUGUUGGAGUAGGGCUUUUCUAGAGGCUAAGGCAGAUAAGAGGGCUUGGAACAGUACUUCCAAUAUAGAGUACUCUUACUUUGUCUAAGAGCAAAUAUGUUCCAUCUAUGGUAAAUUGUCCGGUACAUGUAUAUCUAUUCAUCAAAUAUAUUUUGUUAUGAUGGUGGUGCAACAGUACUUCCAAUAUAGAGUACUCUUACUUUGUCUAAGAGUUAUAAAAGUUAUUAUUAUCAUACCAGUUCUCACGUUGUUAAUAAGUCUCAUAGCAGUCAAAAAAGAGGGCUUAAUAGAUAGAGUGUCUAAGUCUGGAGUAACGGUAAGACCCUCUAGGGCGGCUAUUCUUGCUAUAAGGUUCCAUAGGAAGAUACCAUUGUAUGUUUUCCCAUCCUUGCCCUACUCUAACCUGAUAUCACUUUCUACCAUGGGUAAGUUCGCAUACUCAUAACUUGGUGACAUACUCCUUUCCUUUUGGCAUGUGGGUAAGUCGUAAAUAGCCCUUUAUAAUAUGCUUUCUUUCUCAGGAUCCUCUUUCUGCUAAUGCUACUGGGGAUGCCCUUGGUGGAUUC